AGGGGGAGCGCCGGAUCUUGGGCUGUGUCCCCAGCGCCCAGGGCUCCGGGGUCUGCACCGCUGGAAUUGGGCUCCCGGGCCCCACAGCCCACU
This 93-nucleotide microRNA precursor is filed under the name Canis lupus familiaris (dog). RNAcentral describes it as "mir-8799 microRNA precursor family". It matches the Rfam family "mir-8799 microRNA precursor family". Lineage: Eukaryota; Metazoa; Chordata; Mammalia; Carnivora; Canidae. The record is from Rfam by way of RNAcentral.